GGGAACUUCACAGUGUUAAAGUAUCAAGCAGGCAGACUGACUCCAGCUUUCCCGACUCCAAGAGACACACGGGCCAGCCAAAAAAGAGCAGACGUUCCAAGAAAGGAGCGCUAAGAGUCCAACAUAUCCAAAAGAGAAACUUUUCCAAGAGUGUGAAUGGGCUCAUCUUUGUGGUGGACUCUAGCGCGGGAAGACCAUUUUGACAGAAGUAAACAACUGAAUGAGGCGCUACACAUUCUGCAAGCAGAGUCCUUUUCACUUCUCCGAUUGGUUUGCAACCGAUGAAAAAAUUUUUACAAGACUGGUCCUUCACCACUGUUAUGUGCAUCUGCUUCAUCUGUAAGAGUUAUACCUGGGCCAAACUUUAAGCACACAGGCCUCGGAGAGUUCAUGCUAACCUUUGUGAUGCAAACAUGGAAGUCAAGAAAAUCUCAACUCAAAUUCAGUUCCUGGCCUUGGGCAAGUUACUGACCUUCUUUCUGCUGCAAUUUACUUGUCUGUAAAAUGAGAAUAAUAACAGCAACCUACCUUGCUGGCAUGAGGAUCACACUCUCUUUUGAAGUGUCCCAUUUAAUGGUUGUUAUUAUGUCUUGCCACCAAGGGUCUGAUCUGCAAAAGAUUCUCAGGUAAAUAAAAAAUAAUGCCCAUAUUUA
Pteropus alecto (black flying fox) is the source of this 653-nucleotide long non-coding RNA. RefSeq lists it as uncharacterized. The record is from RefSeq and is a predicted model, not a curated record. The transcript has 3 exons. NCBI's taxonomy places the organism in Eukaryota, Metazoa, Chordata, Mammalia, Chiroptera, Pteropodidae.